This 482-nucleotide ribosomal RNA is filed under the name uncultured bacterium. Its description in RNAcentral is "partial 16S ribosomal RNA". It matches the Rfam family "Bacterial small subunit ribosomal RNA", at positions 28 to 523 of the family's 1533-position model. The record is from RNAcentral.
GACGAACGCUGGCGGCGUGCUUAACACAUGCAAGUCGAACGGUGAAGUAGAGCUUGCUCUAUGGAUCAGUGGCGAACGGGUGAGUAACACGUGGGCAACCUGCCCCAGACUCUGGGAUAACUCCUCGAAAGAGGGGCAAAUACCGGAUAUUUGCAUUGCAAGACAUCUUGUGAUGCAGAAAGAAUUUCGGUCUGGGAUGGGCCCGCGGCCUAUCAGCUUGUUGGUGAGGUAACGGCUCACCAAGGCGACGACGGGUAGCCGGCCUGAGAGGGCGACCGGCCACACUGGGACUGAGACACGGCCCAGACUCCUACGGGAGGCAGCAGUGGGGAAUAUUGGGCAAUGGGCGCAAGCCUGACCCAGCAACGCCGCGUGAGGGAUGAAGGUCCUCGGAUUGUAAACCUCUUUCAGCAGGGACGAAGCGAAAGUGACGGUACCUGCAGAAGAAGCACCGGCUAACUACGUGCCAGCAGCCGCCGCGG